CCUACGGGGGACAGCAGUGAGGAAUAUUGGUCAAUGGGCUUACGCCUGAACCAGCUAAGUCGCGUGAGGGAAGACUGCCCUAUGGGUUGUAAACCUCUUUUGUCAGGGAGCAAUUGGCGCUACGUGUAGCGUUAUCGAGAGUACCUGAAGAAAAAGCAUCGGCUAACUCCGUGCCAGCAGCCGCGGUAAUACGUAGGAUGCGAGCGUUAUCCGGAUUUAUUGGGUUUAAAGGGUGCGUAGGCGGAAUGCCAAGUCAGCGGUAAAAUCGCGGGGCUCAACCUCGCUCCGCCGUUGAAACUGGCGGUCUUGAGUGGGCGAGAAGUAUGCGGAAUGCGUGGUGUAGCGGUGAAAUGCAUAGAUAUCACGCAGAACUCCGAUUGCGAAGGCAGCAUACCGGCGCCCAACUGACGCCGAAGCACGAAAGCGUGGGUAUCGAACAGGAUUAGAUACCCCAGUAGUC
This 460-nucleotide ribosomal RNA is filed under the name uncultured bacterium. RNAcentral describes it as "partial 16S ribosomal RNA". It matches the Rfam family "Bacterial small subunit ribosomal RNA", at positions 338 to 795 of the family's 1533-position model. The record is from RNAcentral.